RNAcentral lists this long non-coding RNA (319 nucleotides) under Populus tremula. RNAcentral describes it as "long non-coding RNA (PTRE_LNC000026)". The record is from RNAcentral. Lineage: Eukaryota; Viridiplantae; Streptophyta; Magnoliopsida; Malpighiales; Salicaceae.
UCAAAAGGAAGUAGCCUCUUACGAGUUGUCCUUGUACGAGUGUCCUUUAUUGGAGCAUUUAUUCGAGGGUUACUCAAGUAUAGUAAGAUAAUAGUCAAGAAAAUGAUCAAUUUCUAACCAAAAACACAAAAAUCUGUUUUUCUUAACAGAAAAUCUGAUCGAAAAGAACUGAAAAUACUAAAAGGAUAUGUGAGAGACUGGUAUCAGUGUGAGGAUCAUAAAUUCUGACAGGCUUGAUGUUAUCUAACAUGAUUUCCAAUCCUCUAUCCACCAUGUAAUCAAAGGAAUCUAUGUGGUGCCUCACUAGCUCUUCCAGCUC